This 254-nucleotide ribosomal RNA is filed under the name uncultured bacterium. RNAcentral describes it as "partial 16S ribosomal RNA". It matches the Rfam family "Bacterial small subunit ribosomal RNA", at positions 524 to 776 of the family's 1533-position model. The record is from RNAcentral.
UACGUAGGCAGCGAGCGUUGUUCGGAAUUACUGGGCGUAAAGAGUGUGUAGGCGGUGCUCUAAGUUCGGUGUGAAAUCUCCUGGCUCAACUGGGGGGGGUGCGCCGGAAACUGGAGUGCUUGAGCGUGGGAGAGGAAAGCGGAAUUCCUGGUGUAGCGGUGAAAUGCGUAGAUAUCAGGAGGAACACCUGUGGUGUAGACGGCUUUCUGGACCAUAGCUGACGCUGAGACACGAAAGCGUGGGGAGCAAACAGG